UACGAGGGGGGCGAGCGUUGUUCGGAAUUAUUGGGCGUAAAGGGCGCGUAGGUGGCGAAGCAAGUCAACGGUGAAAGCUCGACGCUCAACGUCGAGUCGGCCGUCGAUACUGCAUCGCUCGAGCACUGUAGAGGCAGAUGGAAUUCCGGGUGUAGCGGUGGAAUGGCGUAGAGAUCCGGAAGAACACCGGUGGCGAAGGCGGUCUG
This 206-nucleotide ribosomal RNA is filed under the name uncultured bacterium. RNAcentral's name for it is "partial 16S ribosomal RNA". It matches the Rfam family "Bacterial small subunit ribosomal RNA", at positions 524 to 728 of the family's 1533-position model. The record is from RNAcentral.